This 1646-nucleotide ribosomal RNA is filed under the name metagenomes. RNAcentral's name for it is "bacterial LSU rRNA". It matches the Rfam family "Bacterial large subunit ribosomal RNA", at positions 1390 to 2925 of the family's 2925-position model. The record is from RNAcentral.
CCUAAGGCGAGGCCGACAGGCGUAGUCGAUGGACAACGGGUUGAUAUUCCCGUACCCGCUUUGGUUCGCCCAUGGCAAGGCCAGGAGUGCUAAGGGCCGUGAUCUGAUGAAGCCUUCGGGUGGAGUCGGGGAGCCGCCCGGCCCCUGCUGGUAGUAGCCAAGCGAUGGGAUGACGCAGGAAGGUAGUCCAGCCCAGGCGUUGGUUGUCCUGGGGUAAGGGUGUAGGGCGAGUCGUAGGUAAAUCCGCGGCUCAUGUGCCUGAGACCUGAUGCCGAGCCGAUCGAGGUGAAGUGGAUGAUCCUAUGCUGCCGAGAAAAGUCUCUAGCGAGAACCAUGGCGGCCCGUACCCCAAACCGACUCAGGUGGUCAGGUAGAGAAUACCAAGGCGAUCGAGCGAACUAUGGUUAAGGAACUCGGCAAAAUACCUCCGUAACUUCGGGAGAAGGAGGGCCGGUGGCUGUGACGGGACGUGCUCCCGGGAGCGGCUGCUGGUCGCAGAGACCAGCGAGAAGCGACUGUUUACUAAAAACACAGGUCCGUGCGAAGUCGCAAGACGAUGUAUACGGACUGACGCCUGCCCGGUGCUGGAACGUUAAGGGGACGGGUCAGCACGUAAGUGCGAAGCUCAGAACUCAAGCGCCAGUAAACGGCGGUGGUAACUAUAACCAUCCUAAGGUAGCGAAAUUCCUUGUCGGGUAAGUUCCGACCUGCACGAAUGGCGUAACGACUUCUCGACUGUCUCAACCAUAGGCUCGGCGAAAUUGCACUACGAGUAAAGAUGCUCGUUACGCGCGGCAGGACGGAAAGACCCCGGGACCUUCACUACAACUUGAUAUUGGUGUUCGGUUCGGCUUGUGUAGGAUAGGUGGGAGACUGUGAAGCUCGCACGCCAGUGCGGGUGGAGUCAACGUUGAAAUACCACUCUGGUCGAAUUGGAUGUCUAACCUCGGUCCGUGAUCCGGAUCAGGGACAGUGUCAGGCGGGUAGUUUAACUGGGGCGGUUGCCUCCCAAAAUGUAACGGAGGCGCCCAAAGGUUCCCUCAGCCUGGUUGGCAAUCAGGUGUCGAGUGCAAGUGCACAAGGGAGCUUGACUGUGAGACAGACAUGUCGAGCAGGGACGAAAGUCGGGACUAGUGAUCCGGCACUGGCUUGUGGAAGCGGUGUCGCUCAACGGAUAAAAGGUACCCCGGGGAUAACAGGCUGAUCUUGCCCAAGAGUCCAUAUCGACGGCAAGGUUUGGCACCUCGAUGUCGGCUCGUCGCAUCCUGGGGCUGGAGUAGGUCCCAAGGGUUGGGCUGUUCGCCCAUUAAAGCGGCACGCGAGCUGGGUUUAGAACGUCGUGAGACAGUUCGGUCCCUAUCCGCCGCGCGCGCAGGAGACUUGAGAAGAGCUGUCCCUAGUACGAGAGGACCGGGACGGACGAACCUCUGGUGUGACAGUUGUCCUGCCAAGGGCACCGCUGUUUAGCUACGUUCGGCAGGGAUAACCGCUGAAAGCAUCUAAGCGGGAAGCUCGCUUCAAGAUGAGGUCUCCCACAGGGUUAACCUGGUAAGGCCCCCCACGAGACCAUGGGGUUGAUAGGCCGGAAGUGGAAGCCGAGUAAUCGGUGCAGCUGACCGGUACUAAUAGGCCGAGGGCUUGAUCAC